Molecule: non-coding RNA, 104 nt
Organism: Lentinula aff. lateritia
Lineage: Eukaryota; Fungi; Basidiomycota; Agaricomycetes; Agaricales; Omphalotaceae
Source: the annotation of a GenBank genome assembly
GGUUCGAUGGCGUAGUUGGUUAUCGCAUCUGUCUAACAUGUUCCCCACUGUCAAAUGGUAGUGUCCCACACAGAAGGUCCCCGGUUCGAGCCCGGGUCGAAUCA